GAAGAGAUGGAGGUAGAAAAACAAUGUAUUCUUAAUCUAUCAUGUUGUUGUCUAUUCUUUUUCAAAAAGUUAAUUUUUGUCUAAAUUUUGAUUGGUUUGAGUAAUAUGCUCUUUUAGCGAACACUAGUUUAUGUAUAUCAUGUACAUAAGAGUUAAAUAGAGCUGCUGCAGCAAAUGUUAGGAUCGAAAUGAAAAUAUUUUCAGUUUUGGUUAAGAAAUAGCUACUUAGGAAUAGUAAUUGGAUUUUUAUUGUGUAUGAAGAAAAGUACAGCACUUGUUUCAUCCAAUUUGCAUGUCAGCUCAAAAAAAUUGCAGAUAAACUAACACUUGAUUUGUAAUAGUAAUGCAUUUAUUUUCUUUGUCUGCUUCAUUUUGAUGUAUUACAUCCCUGCAGAUGUCGCAGGGAAGAGCGAGGAGGGUCGUGCAUUGUAGCCGGUGUAAUCAGUCGCGGGGAAGAGCCGGUGUAAUCAGUUAGAACUACUUGUGCAGCUCCUUUAUGAAACAAGGUUUCUCUGCAAUAAUGAGAAAAGUUUAGAUUCAUCAUAUAGUCUGUGUUCUUUCUUUUUUAGCUUGUAGAGAGUUUUGAAUUAUAGUGAAUAUUGUGAUGGGUUCUUGUA
Asparagus officinalis (garden asparagus) is the source of this 617-nucleotide long non-coding RNA. RefSeq lists it as uncharacterized. The record is from RefSeq and is a predicted model, not a curated record. Lineage: Eukaryota; Viridiplantae; Streptophyta; Magnoliopsida; Asparagales; Asparagaceae. The transcript has 2 exons.